RNAcentral lists this ribosomal RNA (467 nucleotides) under uncultured organism. RNAcentral describes it as "bacterial SSU rRNA". It matches the Rfam family "Bacterial small subunit ribosomal RNA", at positions 28 to 507 of the family's 1533-position model. The record is from RNAcentral.
GACGAACGCUGGCGGCGUGCUUAACACAUGCAAGUCUAGGGGGCCCGCAAGGGUCACCGGCGAACGGGUGCGUAACACGUGAGCGACCUACCCUGGAAUGGGGGAUAGCCGGCCCAACGGCCGGGUAAUACCGCAUACGCUCUUCGAGCUGCAUGGCUUGGAGAGGAAACCUUUUGGGUUCCUGGAGGGGCUCGCGGCCUAUCAGCUAGUUGGUGAGGUAAUGGCUCACCAAGGCGAUGACGGGUAGCUGGUCUGAGAGGAUGGCCAGCCACAUUGGGACUGAGAAACGGCCCAGACUCCUACGGGAGGCAGCAGUGGGGAAUAUUGCGCAAUGGUCGAAAGACUGACGCAGCGACGCCGCGUGGAGGAUGACGCCCUUCGGGGUGUAAACUCCUGUUGCUCGGGACGAACCUCCCCAUUCGUGGGGACUGACGGUACCGGGUGAGGAAGCACCGGCUAACUCUGUG